GAUGGUGUAUAUGGCACAUUCUCAACAAGUUUGCUCAGAAGUUAGGCAAGCGCAUCUACUAUCCUGAGUUUAAGGACGGACUGCACCAAGCCGUAUAUAACAGCCUUGACUGUGAGGAAUUCGAACAACGUUGGCCGGAGGUUAUUAAGAAGUAUGAAGCUGAUGAUGAUGAGUGGCUGGCAGGCUUGUAUGAAGAAAGGGCUAUGUGGGUUCCAGCAUAUGUGAAACACUUGUUUUGGGCCGGGAUGAAAACCACGCAGAGGGUCGAAAGUAUUCAUAGCUUUUUUGAUGGCUAUUUGAGCAAACACACGUUGUUACAUGAAUUUGUGGAGAGGUAUGAAGAAGCGCUCUCGGUUAGAGCAAAAACAGAAAAGAAGACUGACGACAACAAUGCCAGGUAUGUGAGGAAGGCCUGCACCGAUUUUCCUGCUGAGCUUUUCUUCUAGAAGAUUUACACGGAUGCCAAAUUCAAAGAAGUUCAGCGUGAAUUCACUCGUAUGAUAUAUGUCAACAGAAGACAUGUUUCCGAUCAUGUUGUUGAGCAUGUUGUCGAGGAUAGAGUUUGGUACAAGCCCCAAAUCUCUAAGAAAGAGUUGCCCUCCAAGCGUAAGCGAAGGUACGUGGUUACUCUUGACAUUGGUAGUAAGGAUGCUUGGUGUGAGUGUAAGUAUUUUGAAUGUCAUGGGAUUAUAUGUCGUCACAUAAUUAAGGUGUACGAGUUGCAUGAUCAUGUGGGUAUUCCAGAUAAGUUCAUCUUGAAGCGUUGGAGGAAAGAUGUGAUGCGGCCGUAUACCCGUGUGAAGGUUGGUUAUCAUGAUCCGAGUAAGACAGAGGAGGUUUGUAGGUUUGACAAGAUGAUGGUGAAGUUUGGUUCUGUUUGCUCUAAGUCGUCCUUUUGUAAAGAAACAACAACACUUGUUCUUGAUACGCUUCAGUUACUUGAGAUUCAAGUGGAGGAGAUGGUUGACAUGAUUAACAAAAAGGGUGACAAGAAUGGUUCUUUGGAAAAAGAAAAAGGAACUCCUGUUACUCCAUCCACGCAGAGGCAAGGAAGUUGCUCUGAGAUACCCAAAGAUCCUCCUAUUCCUAAAAAUCCGGCUCACCGCACAACAGAUGUGAGAUUCCCAUCGUGUAUUGAGAAAGCAAAGAAGGGUAACACUAAUCGACAGAGUUGUAGUAAAAAAAAAGGCUAAACGGCAACAAUGUAGCACUCCCUCCAGCAACCAGGGUUAUUUUUUCCCCUACAGCCCCCAAUCUGUCGGCGGGAUACAGAUGGUUGAUGGUGAUGGUUCUAUUGGGUACUUCACUGGUGUUUCUAGAGGCUCUGAAAGUGAUCUUCAGGCAAUGUAUAAGGCUGGUUGCAUUCCUUAUCAGUAUACACAUUAUAGGCCAAUGUAUCCAUUUGGUGUUUUGGCAGCAUCUCCCCAUUCCCCUCACACUCCUCGUUCUACAGCAUGUUCCACAGCUGGUGGCAGGCCUAUGUUCAGACCUAUUGCUCCAAAACCUCCGAUGUUCACCCAUGGUAAUAUACGCUACACAACUCCACCUCAUGCAUCGGUACACCCUACUAAUCAGCAGCAGCAGUAGCUCACCGUUUUUGGAAGCUUAACUGAUGAACUAAAAACAUA
Chenopodium quinoa (quinoa) is the source of this 1628-nucleotide long non-coding RNA. RefSeq lists it as uncharacterized. Lineage: Eukaryota; Viridiplantae; Streptophyta; Magnoliopsida; Caryophyllales; Amaranthaceae. The transcript has 3 exons. The record is from RefSeq and is a predicted model, not a curated record.